AAGCCUGUGAACAAGAGCAAGAGAGAACAUUGGUAAAGAAUUUGGAGCUGCUGAGAGCUUCGAAGCGUUUAACUCAGGUGCCGAGCUUGCUUUGCUUUUGCUUGACAGAUAACUGUGUUUUGAAGACGGGUGCGAUUGAUGUGGAUGAAUGAAGCUUUGCUGACUUUUGUAAGAACGGGGAAGUUUACUGCACCUAUGAUGAGCUUGGACGAGGGCCAUAUAUAUAUGAGAAGCACCAUAGAGAUCAUACACAGAGGUGAAGGCACAGUGAAAGGUCACGAAGUUUCAUAAGUUCCUAACGUGCCCUAUAGAAGUAGUAAAGUCAUACAGAUUUGGAAUGACAUGAUGGUGAGAGAACAAGUCUGGAACAUCUAAAUUCCUCAGAUUCUUGGAUGUACGUGUCUGCACUGCAGUGAGGUGAGUGCGUCUGAACCUCAGGGUUUCUCCCACACCCCAAAGACAUGAUGACAGAUCUCAGAGUGGGUCUCUAUGUGCUGCCUUGUUCAAGA
Ctenopharyngodon idella (grass carp) is the source of this 509-nucleotide long non-coding RNA. RefSeq lists it as uncharacterized. NCBI's taxonomy places the organism in Eukaryota, Metazoa, Chordata, Actinopteri, Cypriniformes, Xenocyprididae. The transcript has 6 exons. The record is from RefSeq and is a predicted model, not a curated record.